CCUACGGGUGGCAGCAGUGAGGAAUAUUGCGCAAUGGACGGAAGUCUGAACGAGCCAUGCCGCGUGCAGGAAUGCAGCUCUAUGAGUUGUAAACUGCUUUUGUACAAGGGUAAACCUGAAUACGUGUAUUCAGCUGAAAGUACUGUACGAAUAAGGAUCGGCUAACUCCGUGCCAGCAGCCGCGGUAAUACGGAGGAUCCAAGCGUUAUCCGGAUUUAUUGGGUUUAAAGGGUGCGUAGGCGGGUGGAUGAGUUAGAGGUGAAAUGUCCGGGCUUAACUCGGGAACUGCCUUUAAUACUGUUGGUCUAGAGAGUAGGUGAGGUAGGCGGAAUGUAUGGUGUAGCGGUGAAAUGCUUAGAGAUCAUAAAGAACACCGAUUGCGAAGGCAGCUUACCAAUCUAUAUCUGACGUUGAGGCACGAAAGCGUGGGGAGCAAACAGGAUUAGAUACCCCGGUAGUC
RNAcentral lists this ribosomal RNA (460 nucleotides) under uncultured bacterium. RNAcentral describes it as "partial 16S ribosomal RNA". It matches the Rfam family "Bacterial small subunit ribosomal RNA", at positions 338 to 795 of the family's 1533-position model. The record is from RNAcentral.